UACGUAGGGUGCAAGCGUUAAUCGGAAUUACUGGGCGUAAAGCGUGCGCAGGCGGUUAUGUAAGACAGUUGUGAAAUCCCCGGGCUCAACCUGGGAACUGCAUCUGUGACUGCAUAGCUAGAGUACGGUAGAGGGGGAUGGAAUUCCGCGUGUAGCAGUGAAAUGCGUAGAUAUGCGGAGGAACACCGAUGGCGAAGGCAAUCCCCUGGACCUGUACUGACGCUCAUGCACGAAAGC
RNAcentral lists this ribosomal RNA (237 nucleotides) under uncultured bacterium. Its description in RNAcentral is "partial 16S ribosomal RNA". It matches the Rfam family "Bacterial small subunit ribosomal RNA", at positions 524 to 760 of the family's 1533-position model. The record is from RNAcentral.